RNAcentral lists this ribosomal RNA (465 nucleotides) under uncultured bacterium. RNAcentral's name for it is "partial 16S ribosomal RNA". It matches the Rfam family "Bacterial small subunit ribosomal RNA", at positions 338 to 795 of the family's 1533-position model. The record is from RNAcentral.
CCUACGGGCGGCAGCAGUGGGGAAUAUUGCGCAAUGGGCGAAAGCCUGACGCAGCGAAGCCGCGUGAGGGAUGAAGGUAUUCGGAUCGUAAACCCCUGUCAGCAGGGAAGCAAGGUCACUGUGCUAAUCAGCAGUGAAUUGACGGUAACUGCAAAGAAAGCACCGGCUAACUCCGUGCCAGCAGCUGCAGUAAUACGGAGGGUGCGAGCGUUAAUCGGAAUUACUGGGCGUAAAGCGAUCGUAGGCGGUAUGUCAAGUCAAGGGUGAAAUCCCCGCGCUCAACGUGGGAACUGCCUUUGAAACUGGCAGACUGGAGUGUGUGAGAGGAUAGUGGAAUUCCAGGUGUAGGAGUGAAAUCCGUAGAUAUCUGGAGGAACAUCAGUGGCGAAGGCGACUAUCUGGCACAUAACUGACGCUGAGGAGCGAAAGCGUGGGUAGCAAACAGGAUUAGAUACCCGGGUAGUC